AUACAUUUCUUGCCCUUUUGUCUAAGAUAAAGUGUAAUAUUUGUUCUCAUCAGUUUCAUAUACGAUAUGUGGACCAUAUGUUUACUUUGAUAUUAAAUUUAUUUUUUUUGGGUGUCGAGACAAGAUCUUCGAGGCCCUAGGGCCUACCGGUAAGGGAGAGCACACGAGGAAAGGACUUCUAGCUGUCAGGGGUCACCCAAU
Molecule: non-coding RNA, 201 nt
Organism: Zea mays
Lineage: Eukaryota; Viridiplantae; Streptophyta; Magnoliopsida; Poales; Poaceae
Source: Rfam